This 480-nucleotide ribosomal RNA is filed under the name Triticum aestivum (bread wheat). RNAcentral's name for it is "partial small subunit ribosomal RNA". The record is from RNAcentral. Lineage: Eukaryota; Viridiplantae; Streptophyta; Magnoliopsida; Poales; Poaceae.
AUGGGCUCAUCUUUUUAUGUUGAUGUAAAUAUUUUUCAUGUAGCGACCGUAAACAACCCUGGAUCAGAUUCAAAUAUAUUUGCUCUUGUAAUCUUAACUCUCAACAUUUCCUACACAAUGACAAAAGGGGUUCUCAAGUCACCCAAAUCUUUCCCCACCCCAACCAGUGUGUUUUCUUGUUUUUUUUUUCGAGAGUACGCAAAAGUGCUCUCUUGUUUUGAUUCGGGCCUCCUCCACUCCGCCCUCUCCUUGGCUCUUCCCAUCGGUGGCUCAUCCUCCUUGUCGCUUCCUUCCAGCUCCUCCACUAUGCCCUCUCCCUCCAUAGUGACGAAGGGCCCCACCCACUCAUUGAGCAGUUUUUUUUCUUUCGAAACGGACUUGAGCAGGUUGUUGAGGUGGACGGCUGGACGCCGAGAUCGAGUUGGAGCUCAACGCGGGGAACAGUUUGUGAGCUUCGUUCGACCAAUUGCCCAUUUGUAG